RNAcentral lists this ribosomal RNA (252 nucleotides) under uncultured bacterium. RNAcentral's name for it is "partial 16S ribosomal RNA". It matches the Rfam family "Bacterial small subunit ribosomal RNA", at positions 524 to 776 of the family's 1533-position model. The record is from RNAcentral.
UACGUAGGGCGCAAGCGUUGUCCGGAAUUAUUGGCGUAAAGAGCUCGUAGGCGGCCUGUUGCGUCCGCUGUGAAAUCCCGGGGCUCAACCCCGGGCCUGCAGUGGAUACGGGCUGGCUAGAGGCAGGCAGGGGAGAACGGAAUUCCUGGUGUAGCGGUGAAAUGCGCAGAUAUCAGGAGGAACACCGGUGGCGAAGGCGGUUCUCUGGGCCUGUACUGACGCUGAGGAGCGAAAGCGUGGGGAGCGAACAGG